Apis laboriosa (Himalayan honeybee) is the source of this 895-nucleotide long non-coding RNA. RefSeq lists it as uncharacterized. NCBI's taxonomy places the organism in Eukaryota, Metazoa, Arthropoda, Insecta, Hymenoptera, Apidae. The record is from RefSeq and is a predicted model, not a curated record. The transcript has 2 exons.
CCCCUGAGUAAUCUGGUGGGCAACCAGAAUCAAAACUAGAUUCAAAAAGCUCGGAUGACGAACUACCACUACCACCCGCAAUAAAUAAUGUUGUUCGACUAGGAGGAUCAAUAGAAUCCAUAAGAGGGGUAUCAAAAUGCUGCCUAAUCUAUGUUCCUCAAGUUUAAUUUGAGCUUCUCGCAAUUCAUCACCACUUGGACCUUCCUCUAAAUCACCUUCUGCACUACAGCAUCCUUCAUCAGUUGAAGAACUAGUUGAACUAAAUCUUUUUCCUCCUCGAGUUGCAUCUUCCCUUGUUCUAGAAAUAAAUACGUAAACCAAAUUUAUCCAAAAUAUUCUAAUUAUUUGAUAAAAGUUACUGUAGUGACGAAUAAAUAUCAAUUACGAAAAUUUUUUUUAAUGAAAUCUUGUCCCUCCUAUUUUUGCUGCAUUGUUUUUAUUAAUAUUAAAAUAUAUAAAAAUAUGUAAAAAGCCACGAAUUAUAAUAGAAUUAUAACAAAAACUAUACAAUAUAUGGCGAUAUAAAAACAAAGUAAAUAUUUAAUAUUGGAAUAUGGAAUAACUCAAAAUAAGAGGAAAGCAAUGAAAUAAAAUGAAAGAAUUACCAAAAAUAAAGUGACAGCAAAGCACUUCCAAUCCAACCUGUCCUGAAAAUCUUCAAUACAUGCGUCACCGUCAAUAAAGAUCAACGUCCCACUAAGCUAUCGCUGUAAAUAAAAAUUGUACAAUUAACAUUUAAUUUUUUACAAAUUCUUUUGACGGGCAGGAUUGGAAGACAAGUAAAUCGUUAUUUUGAUAAAAAUUUUAUAAAUGAAAAUGAAAUUUAAACUAAUAUUAUUAAUAAAUAAAUAAUACAAAUAAUUGUAUUAAUUAAAUAAAUAUACCUUGACUUGAA